Molecule: long non-coding RNA, 706 nt
Filed under: Cyanistes caeruleus (blue tit)
Lineage: Eukaryota; Metazoa; Chordata; Aves; Passeriformes; Paridae
Description: lncRNA (ENSCCEG00000024375.1)
Source: RNAcentral
GCCGCGUCGGCAUCCAGGGCAGGGAGCCGCCGGCCCCGGCUCCGGACGGGGAGGCGCUGGCCCGGCCCGGCCCGGCCCGGCUCCGCUCGGGAAUGCCCCGGCAGGAAGGUGCCAGGGGUACCCGCAGCUCCGGGACUGUCGGGAACUCGCAGCUUGGCUCCCGCCCAUCGCGCUCGUCCCGCAGGGAAAAUCCCCGGCUCCGGAUCGGUAGCAGGGGUGAAACCUCCCAGAACGGGUCCCAAGGGCGCUGUGAAGGCUCUCGGUGCUGCAGCUUUUCUAUUCCAUUGGCAGAGAUUAUUUUACCUAGCCUUCAGGCGCGAUCAGAACUAAUGAACUCCCCGAGUUAAAGCUGCCCACGAUGCCCGUGCAGCCCUUGUCUGAGCAAGGGAAUCUUCUGAUUUCCCACUCUGAUCCAUGGGAAUUUAACACCCCUUCCCACUGGCACUGGAGAAUCCACAAAGCCGGCUCGCUUCCCUUUUGCUCCCUUGGUGCUUCAGGAUUACCAGGAAAAAGAAAUAAAGGCCCUUUAAAAAAUUGCACCAAAGAGGACUUGGCUGUUGGAGAGUUCCAGGGUUUCUCCUGCAAGGCAGUUUCUCUGAUUAGUUUUUCUCUGUCUUUAGAACAGAGAGUUGUGUUUAAGAGUAUUCCUCGUGGAGAAACAAACUGCGCUUUAGGAAACCUGGACUGUUCCUUUGCUGCUGUGUAG